CCUACGGGUGGCAGCAGUGAGGAAUAUUGGUCAAUGGCCGCAAGCCUGAACCAGCCAAGUCGCGUGAGGGAUGAAGGUCCUAUGCGUUGUAAACCUCUUUUGCCGGGGAGCAAAGGGCCGGACGCGUGCCGUCCCGAGGGUACCCGACGAAAAAGCAUCGGCCAACUCCGUGCCAGCAGCCGCGGUAAUUAGGAGGGUGCGAGCGUUAUUCGGAAUCAUUGGGCGUAAAGGGCGCGGCGGCGGGAUGGCAAGCCAGGUGUGAAAUCCUAGGGCUUAACCAGCGAACUGCCUUUGAAACUGGGGUUCUGGAGUGUGGGAGAGGUAGGUGGAAUGCGUGGUGUAGGAGUGAAAUCCGUAGAGAUCAAGCAGAACACCGAUUGCGAAGGCGACGUGCUGGCACAUAACUGACGCUGAGGCGCGAAAGCGUGGGGAGCGAACAGGAUUAGAUACCCGAGUAGUC
RNAcentral lists this ribosomal RNA (460 nucleotides) under uncultured bacterium. Its description in RNAcentral is "partial 16S ribosomal RNA". It matches the Rfam family "Bacterial small subunit ribosomal RNA", at positions 338 to 795 of the family's 1533-position model. The record is from RNAcentral.